AUGUUUGCUUCAGGAAUACAUAUACUAAUAUUGGGGCAAUACAGAGAAGAUAACAUGGUCUCUGUGUGAAGAUAGACAUACAAAUUCGUGACAUGUUCCAUGUUUUU
Panthera pardus (leopard) is the source of this 107-nucleotide small nuclear RNA. NCBI's taxonomy places the organism in Eukaryota, Metazoa, Chordata, Mammalia, Carnivora, Felidae. The record is from Ensembl.